UAAUACAUAGGAUGCAAGCGUUGCUCGGAAUUACUGGGUGUAAAGAGCGUGUAGGUGGCCAGAUAAGUCAGUGGUGAAAGCCCUCGGCUCAACCGGGGAACUGCCAUUGAAACUGUCUGGCUUGAGUACGGGAGAGGAAAGGGGAAUUCCUGGUGUAGCGGUGAAAUGCGUAGAUAUCAGGAGGAACACCGGUGGCGAAGGCGCCUUUCUGGACCGAUACUGACACUGAGACGCGAAAGCGUGGGGAGCAAACAGGAUUAGAUACCCUGGUAGUCCACGCCCUAAACGAUGGGCACUAGGUGUGGGAACUUUUAGAGUUUCCGUGCCGAAGCUAACGCAUUAAGUGCCCCGCCUGGGAAGUACGAUCGCAAGGUUG
This 376-nucleotide ribosomal RNA is filed under the name uncultured bacterium. RNAcentral's name for it is "bacterial SSU rRNA". It matches the Rfam family "Bacterial small subunit ribosomal RNA", at positions 521 to 896 of the family's 1533-position model. The record is from RNAcentral.